Molecule: ribosomal RNA, 774 nt
Filed under: uncultured Neocallimastigales
Lineage: Eukaryota; Fungi; Neocallimastigomycota; Neocallimastigomycetes; Neocallimastigales
Description: partial large subunit ribosomal RNA
Rfam family: Eukaryotic large subunit ribosomal RNA
Source: RNAcentral
UCAGACGAUGCGUCAUGCAUAUCAAUAAGCGGAGGAAAAGAAACUAACAAGGAUUCCCCUAGUAACGGCGAGUGAAGCGGGAAGAGCUCAAAUUUGAAAUCUUAAAGGGUUUCCCUUUACGAAUUGUAGUUUAAAGAAGUGUUUUCUGUUGAGGUUUUGGUAAAAGUUCUUUGGAAUAGGACAUCAUAGAGGGUGAGAAUCCCGUAUUUGACCUUUACUUUCAACUUUGUGAUACACUUUCAAAGAGUCGGAUUGUUUGGGAAUGCAGUCCAAAAUGGGUGGUAAAUUUCAUCUAAAGCUAAGUAUUGGCGAGAGACCGAUAGCGAACAAGUACCGUGAGGGAAAGAUGAAAAGAACUUUGAAAAGAGAGUUAAACAGUACGUGAAAUUGUCAAAAGGGAAGCGUUUGACACCAGUGUUGUUUUUCUGAAAAUCAAUUAAAGAACUGUUUAUGCUAAGUUGUUUAGACUUUAUCAGCUAACUGUUUAGUUUUGAGCUUUUCUUUAAUGCACUUUUCAGUUAACAAGUCAACAUCAAUUUCUUUUGCUGUAAAAAAGCUUGAGGAAGGUGGCUUGAGAUUCGUCUUAAGUGUUUAUAGCCUCUUGCCUAUGCAGUCGGAGAGAUUGAGGUCUGCAGCGUAGAUCCUUCGGGGCUAAAUGCAUUUGUGCUAAGUUAUAGCAUUUUAUAGACAACUUGUUGACUAUGAUUUGUCUUGUAGCUUACUCGCUUAUGUUAUUUUACCUACGCUUAGGAUGUUGAGCGCAUGUCUCUCUCU